GUUACAACCCACAUUUUUUAUCUAGUCAAAGUCAAUAGUGGAAUUUUCAAAGUCAAGUCCAAUGAGGACUUGUAUGAAAUAAAUUAUUUUUAUUGGGACUUGAUUGACCAAAUCAUUUUAUUUGGGUUUAUUUUGCAAUUGGCAAAAUAUAAAGGCUGAAUUGGAUAUAUUUAAAAGUUUGGAAUUUAUAUAUAUACUUUUGAAAGUUUAAGGAUUAAAGGUUACUAAAAAGUAAAGUUAAGGGACUUAAUUUGCAAUUAUGGGAUUGUGGACAAUUAAUUCAACCUUUGACCCAUUUUUUUUCUCAUUUUCACACCAAAACACACACACACCUUACGGGAAGCAGAACCAGCCGAGAAAGAAGAGAAAAAAGAGGAAAAGAAAAAGGGAAAAAAAGAAAAGAAAAAGGAAGAAGAAGGGGAAAAAGAAAAGGAAAGGAGGUAAGGUUGAUAUCUUCAAGUUGGGUUUAAUUUUUCCAUUUGUCUUAGAUGAUUAAGUAUGGUUUAUAUUAAAAUUUUUAGGGUUUUAUCAUGUAAAAAUAAAAUGUUAAAUUUAUGUGAUAUAUGUACGAUUUGGAGCUCAAGCUUAGGGAUUAAUUAUGUUUCAGUUUUAAAAGGUGUUUAGGCAAGGAAAAUUUUGGAAACCCUAGAAUCCGAUUUUGGGGAUUUUAAUUAAUUAAUUGUGGAAGUGAUUAUAUAAAUGGAAUAUUUCAUUUGGGAGUUGAUUUUAAGGAGCAAAUGUAUAUUAGAUGGGUGGAAAUUAUGGUCACUAGUUUCAUUACAUUGGAAAGUAAAAUUAGUUUUAACUUGGGAAGAAGGUUUUGUUGAUAAAUUAGUUAUUAGAAAAGGGAUUAGAAAGUGGGAUUAGCUCCAUUGAUCAAAAGAAUAUUUGAGAAUUCAUUCGAGCAUCGACCAAUUUUGGUUAACUAUUAUAGAAGUAGAUUUUAAAGUUUCUUAAUUUAAAAGUAGUUGAUUAGCCAUCUUAUUAUGUAUUCCAGGUGGUGACGAGGAAGUUGGAAGAGCCUAUCGACCAGUUUAGGUUCAGCUUGUGUUAUGUGAGUGGAUAAAUUUAUUUAUUUUUAGAAAUAAGUAUUUAUUUAAUUUUGAAGUUACGUAUUUUAUAAGUUGAGUUGAUAGCAUGAUUUUUCAAAAUAAAACGAAUUUUAUUAUCAAAUAUUUUUAAAAGUUAAAUUCAGUUCAGUUAAAUUCUUUCAUUGACAUAUUAUUUUAGUAUUAAAUAUUUCAGUAUAUUCAAAAUUAUUUUUAAAACCACCAGAAAGUACCCAAGUGAUUUUACCCUCGUCUGCACUGGUGUGAAUGUGUUUCCACAGUGUAUGACUUCAUAUGGUUAUUUUACCCACUCUGCGCUAGUGUGAAUGUGUUUCCACAGCGUAUGAUCAGUAUAGUGAUUUUACCCGCUCUGCACUAUUGUGAAUGUGUUUCCAUAGUGUAUGACCAUUUUAUAGCUCUGCGCGCGUAUGACCAGAAUUUCAGAAUUUCAGAAUUACAGAAUUUCAGAAUUUAAUGACCUUGCUAUGUAUAUCGAGAUUAAUCGAUACACGAGUAUGGUUAUUCAGGGUACAUUUUUGGUGUGAUGUUUCAGUAUUACAUAGC
This 1613-nucleotide long non-coding RNA is filed under the name Olea europaea subsp. europaea. The record is from RNAcentral. Lineage: Eukaryota; Viridiplantae; Streptophyta; Magnoliopsida; Lamiales; Oleaceae.